This 96-nucleotide non-coding RNA is filed under the name unclassified sequences. The record is from Rfam.
UCACCAACCACACACGCCUUACCGAGACUUAACAGCGUGUCUAAAAAACAGUCUCUCAUACCCGACCUGGAGGGUAGGUUGGGAAUAUUUUACCGA